Molecule: non-coding RNA, 72 nt
Organism: Phrynosoma platyrhinos (Desert horned lizard)
Lineage: Eukaryota; Metazoa; Chordata; Lepidosauria; Squamata; Phrynosomatidae
Source: the annotation of a GenBank genome assembly
GCCACUGUGGUGUAGUGGUUUGAGCACUAAACUAUGACUCUGGUGACCAGAGUUUGAAUCCCUGCUCAGCCA